AAUGAAGAAGGUAUGUACAAAACGGAUGAUGCCAUGCGUAAGGAUUAUAAUACUAAUCCUAGUAGUCAACGUUGGAAUUACCGUUUGAAUACGGAUAUUGAUGUAACGAAGACUACUCUUGUAAAAGUAGGCGUAUCCGGUUCAUUAAAGAAGCGUAAUGCACCGGGGCAGGGCUCUAACGUAUGGACUUCAUUGAUGGGGCAGAGUCCAAUCAGUAUUCCUGUGAUGUAUUCUAAUGGUUACAUUCCUGCACACGGGAAAGAAGAUAAUCGCAAUAAUCCUUGGGUACUUGCUACACAGAGUGGUUAUAAAGAAAUCUGGAAUAAUAAAAUUCAGACCAAUAUUUCUUUGGAACAAAAGUUGGAUUUUAUCACUAAAGGCCUGCGUUUUGAAGGACGUUUCGGGUUCGACACGAAUAAUCAGAGUGAAAUAAACCGGAUAAGAAUGCCGGAAACAUGGCGUGCCCAAAGAGAUCGCAAUGAUGAGGGAAAGGUGAUCUUCAACCAACAAAGUGCCGAAAAACCGAUGGAGCAAACCAGUGCCUCUACUGGUGAACGCCGUGAAUUCCUGGAAGCAUUUUUACAAUAUAACCGUGCAUUUCACGCGCAUCAUUUGAGUGGAACAUUGAAAUAUAGUCAGGAUGCUUAUCGGACAACAGUUGAUAUUGGAACGGAUGUAAAGAAUGGGAUUGCCAAACGUCACAUGGGAUUGGCCGGUCGGGUAAGUUACAACUGGAACUAUCGCUAUUUUGCUGACUUUAACUUUGGCUAUAAUGGUUCGGAAAAUUUUGCUGAUGGACAUCGUUUUCUCUCGCUUGGAAUAUAGCAGAAGAAACGUUUAUAAAGAAACAUCUGAAAUGGAUGAAUAUGUUCAAGUUACGUUAUUCCUAUGGCAAAGUGGGUAGCGAUAAGCUUAAAAUAGGUGAUACAACAUAUCGUUUUCCCUAUUUGUACACAAUCAAGGAUGAUGGAAAUGGCUGGACUUGGAGUGAUUACGGUUCUCCGGACAAUGUGUAUACAGGAAUGCAGUAUACGCAGCUGGCCUCCAACAAUGUCACUUGGGAAAUUGCGACCAAGCACGAUGCAGGUGUGGAUUUAUCCUUAUUCAAUGACAAGUUUACGGCUACUGUAGAUUAUUUCCAUGAACAGCGUGAUGGUAUCUAUAUGGAACGUAAUUAUCUACCUGGCAUUGUGGGUGUAAAUACUUAUCCAAAAGCGAAUGUGGGAAGUGUGCGGUCGAAAGGUUUUGACGGUAAUUUUGCUUACAAGCAGAAAAUAGGUAAAGUCAAUCUGACUGUACGUGGUAACUUUACUUACAGUAAGAAUGAGAUUCUGGAGAAAGACGAAGAAAAUGCAGUUUAUCCCUAUCAAAAGGAGGCUGGUUACAGGGUUAAUCAGGCGAAGGGAUUAAUUGCUUUGGGAUUGUUUAAAGAUUAUGAUGAUAUACGCAAUAGCCCGCAGCAAACUAACUGGGGGAAGGUGCAACCGGGUGACAUUAAAUAUAAAGAUGUCAAUGGAGACGGAAUUAUUAAUGGCAGUGAUGAGGUAGCUAUUGGUGCAACAACGAAGCCUAACUUGAUUUAUGGUUUUGGUAUUUCUGCACAGUGGAAAGGCUUCGACUUCAAUGCACACUUCCAAGGAGCAGGCAAGUCUUCGUUCUUCAUUAAUGGCCCUACCGUAUAUGCCUUUAAUGGUAGUCAGUGGGGAAAUGUCCUGACGAAUUUGGUGAAAGACCGCUAUGUCGAUGCGGAGACAGCUGCCACAUUGGGUAUUCCGGCUAAUGAAAAUCCUAAUGCUUCGUAUCCACGUUUGAGCUACCAAGGUGACAAUGCCAGCAAUAAUAACUACCGAAACUCUACUUUCUGGUUGAAAAAUGGUCGUUACCUUCGACUAAAAACAAUUGAUGUUGGUUAUACACUCCCCAAAUCAAUUGUUAACAAGAUAAGUUCCGACCCGCACGAAAGGCGUAAUGAUUUGGGCACUGUCUCGACAACACACCCGGUGAAAUUGAAAUACCAGUGAAGAUGCUGGUUACCUGCGCCAGGACGGAAAGACCCCAUGGAGCUUUACUCCAGCUUGAUACUGGGAUUCGGUACUGCAUGUACAGGAUAGGUGGGAGACUGAGAACUAUGAACGCCAGUUUGUAGGGAGUCGCUGUUGGGAUACCACCCUUGCGGUAUUGGAUUUCUAACCUGCAGCCGUGAACCGGCUGGGGGACAAUGUCAGGCGGGGAGUUUGACUGGGGCGGUCGCCUCCGAAAGGGUAUCGGAGGCGCUCAAAGGUUCCCUCAGAAUGGUCGGAAACCAUUCGAAGAGUGCAAAGGCAGAAGGGAGCUUGACUGCGACACCGACGGGUGGAGCAGGUACGAAAGUAGGACUUAGUGAUCCGGUGGUAUAAAGUGGGAUUGCCAUCGCUCAACGGAUAAAAGCUACCCUGGGGAUAACAGGCUUAUCACUCCCAAGAGUUCACAUCGACGGAGUGGUUUGGCACCUCGAUGUCGGCUCAUCGCAUCCUGGGGCUGUAGUAGGUCCCAAGGGUUGGGCUGUUCGCCCAUUAAAGCGGUACGCGAGCUGGGUUCAGAACGUCGUGAGACAGUUCGGUCCCUAUCCGGCGCGGGCGGAGGAUAUUUGAGAGGAGCUGUCCUUAGUACGAGAGGACCGGGAUGGACGGACCACUGGUGUAUCUGUUGUCGACCAACGGCAUGGCAGAGUAGCCAAGUCUGGAAGGGAUAAACGCUGAAGGCAUCUAAGCGUGAAGCCCCCCUCAAGAUGAGAUAUCCCUCCUUCGGGAGUAAGACCCCUUGAAGACUACAAGGUAGAUAGGGCAGAGGUGGAAGUGUGGCAACACAUGGAGCUGACUGUUACUAAUAGGUCGAGGGCUUGAUUA
This 2885-nucleotide ribosomal RNA is filed under the name human gut metagenome. RNAcentral describes it as "bacterial LSU rRNA". The stretch from base 2010 to 2874 matches the Rfam family "Bacterial large subunit ribosomal RNA", at positions 2045 to 2912 of the family's 2925-position model. The record is from RNAcentral.